GAUGAAGAACGUAGCGAAAUGCGAUAACUAAUGUGAAUUGCAGAAUUCAGUGAAUCAUCGAGUCUUUGAACGCACAUUGCGCCCCCUGGUAUUCCGGGGGGCAUGCCUGUCCGAGCGUCAUUGCUGCCCUCAAGCACGGCUUGUGUGUUGGGCCUCCGUCCUCCUCCCGGGGGACGGGCCCGAAAGGCAGCGGCGGCACCGCGUCCGGUCCUCGAGCGUAUGGGGCUUCGUCACCCGCUCUUGUAGGCCCGGCCGGCGCUUGCCGACACAUCAAUCUUUUUUCCAGGUUGACCUCGGAUCAGGUAGGGAUACCCGCUGAACUUAAGCAUAUCAUAAGCGGAGGA
RNAcentral lists this unclassified non-coding RNA (344 nucleotides) under soil metagenome. RNAcentral describes it as "partial contains 5.8S ribosomal RNA, internal transcribed spacer 2, and large subunit ribosomal RNA". The stretch from base 1 to 120 matches the Rfam family "5.8S ribosomal RNA", at positions 35 to 154 of the family's 154-position model. The record is from RNAcentral.